UCGAGCGAGAAGUAUUUUUAGCUUGCUAGAAAUACCCAAAGCGGCGAACGGGUGAGUAACACGUUGGCAUCUGCCUCUAAGUCAGGGAUAGCCCAUCGAAAGAUGGAUUAAUACCGGAUAGUCUCUUAGGAGUAAAGAAUUUCGCUUAGAGAGGAGCCUGCGGUCUAUCAGCUAGUUGGUGAGGUAAAAGCUUACCAAGGCUAUGACGGAUAGCUGGUCUGAGAGGACGACCAGCCACAAUGGAACUGAGACACGGUCCAUACUCC
RNAcentral lists this ribosomal RNA (266 nucleotides) under unidentified marine bacterioplankton. Its description in RNAcentral is "partial 16S ribosomal RNA". It matches the Rfam family "Bacterial small subunit ribosomal RNA", at positions 62 to 339 of the family's 1533-position model. The record is from RNAcentral.